UUACAAAAAUUUUUCGUUCUUUUCUCAUUCUUUUCAAAAAAUCUCUUUUCUUUUAAUAUCUUCGAUUUUUCAGCCAAGACCAUCAUAAUUCUGAGAUUUUUUCCUUUCGAUUAAAAAAAAAGAAGUGAAAAUUGAUUAAAUACAUUUGAAGAUACAAGUCAACGAAAUUUUGGGGUUAGUGUAACCCUUGUGUGUAGGAAUCGGGAGAAAAAUAAGGUGUGUAGGCAGAGGGUUAUAUAUAUAUAAAUUACAUUGUUAAUAUAUUCGUAUUUUUAUUUUAUAUACAUUUUAUAUAUUUAUAUUAACAGUAUUAUACAUCAUAUUUUCUUACCUUUCUAAUUACAGUUAACUGCAUGGUAAUCAAAUAAGAUGGAAAUUUAGCGCGUUAAAGAAGUUAUAUAAUAAAAAAAGGGAUCAUAAUCGUACUAGUGGAAAUGCUCCAAAGGCUCUUGAUAAAUUUGAAGAACCAAUUAAAGAAAUUUCAGAUUGUGCUCGUCGUUCAGGAAAAGGAGGUGACGUUCUUAAUGGUAGGAGGGGAAGUGGCGUGUCGAUGAUGAAAGAAAAGGAUUUCAGCUGGUAUACUCCUUGGGAUGAAUCGGAUACUAUAUUGCAGGGAUCCUCCUUCUGGUUGCGUUGUUCCUCAGUUGCUAUCGGCUUUGCCUGUUGAAAUUAGAAAACAAAAAAAAGGGGAGGUAAAGACUACCAGGGAGCGUAUACUGUAACCUCGAAGGUGAAUCGAGUGUUCGACCUGAGUUAGUAUACCUCGAGAUGGUGGAUCAUGAUACUGUAACCUCGAGGAUGUUAUUAGUCGACCCGAGUUAGUAUCUGAAUUGUUUGCAUGUAUACUGUUAUCUCGAGGGUGACAGAAUUGUCGAUCCGAGCUAGUAUACGUCAGGGAAGAGUAUCGUCAAUACUGUAACCUCGAGGGUGAUGCGAGGAUCACCGAGACCCGAGCUAGUAUUUUAGUUAUUGCGUUUUAUUUUUAUUCUCGGAGGGUUAUUAAUUAAUAAAUUUCUAGAAAGAAUGUAAGAAAUGACUCGAAUUGAAUCCCGGGAACAACUAAUCGUGCUCAUGUUACUGCUCUCAAGGAACGUACCAAGACGUGCGCAAAAAUGGCCGUCCAACAGUCUGAACGCGCCCUGCGAUCGUACCCGCAUUUACCUGACAUGACUUUGUGUAAAUGAAAAGAGGUAAGGAAUAGGAAGGUACCUGAAAAUGAGGUGGUGACUCUCUCAACCG
Molecule: long non-coding RNA, 1239 nt
Organism: Monomorium pharaonis (pharaoh ant)
Lineage: Eukaryota; Metazoa; Arthropoda; Insecta; Hymenoptera; Formicidae
Exons: 2
Source: RefSeq, a predicted model, not a curated record